GACGAACGCUGGCGGCGUGCCUAAUACAUGCAAGUAGAACGCUGAAGAGAGGAGCUUGCUCUUCUUGGAUGAGUUGCGAACGGGUGAGUAACGCGUAGGUAACCUGCCUUGUAGCGGGGGAUAACUAUUGGAAACGAUAGCUAAUACCGCAUAACAAUGGAUGACACAUGUCAUUUAUUUGAAAGGGGCAAUUGCUCCACUACAAGAUGGACCUGCGUUGUAUUAGCUAGUAGGUGAGGUAAUGGCUCACCUAGGCGACGAUACAUAGCCGACCUGAGAGGGUGGUCGGCCACCCUGGGACUGAGACACGGCCCAGACUCCUACGGGAGGCAGCAGUAGGGAAUCUUCGGCAAUGGGGGCAACCCUGACCGAGCAACGCCGCGUGAGUGAAGAAGGUUUUCGGAUCGUAAAGCUCUGUUGUAAGUCAAGAACGGGUGUGAGAGUGGAAAGUUCACACUGUGACGGUAGCUUACCAGAAAGGGACGGCUAACUACGUG
Molecule: ribosomal RNA, 497 nt
Filed under: uncultured bacterium
Lineage: Bacteria
Description: partial 16S ribosomal RNA
Rfam family: Bacterial small subunit ribosomal RNA
Source: RNAcentral